RNAcentral lists this ribosomal RNA (253 nucleotides) under uncultured bacterium. Its description in RNAcentral is "partial 16S ribosomal RNA". It matches the Rfam family "Bacterial small subunit ribosomal RNA", at positions 524 to 776 of the family's 1533-position model. The record is from RNAcentral.
UACAGAGGGUGCAAGCGUUAAUCGGAAUUACUGGGCGUAAAGCGUGCGUAGACGGUUACAUAAGUCGGGUGUGAAAGCCCCGGGCUCAACCUGGGAAUUGCAUUCGAGACUGCGUAGCUAGGGUGCGGAAGAGGGAAGCGGAAUUUCCGGUGUAGCGGUGAAAUGCGUAGAUAUCGGGAGGAACACCGGUGGCGAAGGCGGUUCUCUGGGCCUGUGCUGACGCUGAGGAGCGAAAGCGUGGGGAGCGAACAGG